Molecule: long non-coding RNA, 1162 nt
Organism: Syngnathoides biaculeatus (alligator pipefish)
Lineage: Eukaryota; Metazoa; Chordata; Actinopteri; Syngnathiformes; Syngnathidae
Exons: 3
Source: RefSeq, a predicted model, not a curated record
CCAACCUGAUCUCUCUGAGCUCCUCGGGGAGCUUGCAUUUUACGAUCGUUAGUGUUGUUGCUACUGCACCAAAGAUCAGAAACGACUCCCUAUGAGUUUGUUUUAACUUAAACUAAGAAACAAACGGCUUGUUGCGCAGCUGCUUUUAAAAGAAAUGUGUUUUCACUCGUGCCGAUGAAGCCGCAAACCCGGAAGUUGCGCAGCAGUCCGAAACAACAAUGACUUCAAUUAAAGUUGCUACAGAUUGGAGCCGAAUGGAGGGCGAGAGGCUGCGCUGCAGAACAAAAACCUCUUGGGAUUUAAAACAUUUUUCUUCACAAACGCCAUGGAUGGCACAGAGGAUGACAUGCGGUGGGAGCAAGAUGGGAUUGUCAUGAUGCAAUGCAGGAGGCACCGGAACUGUACCAAGUCAUCAAUGAUGAGUUCCACAGCGUUGUACCAAAGCGACCUGACCCAGACCCAGAGUGAUGGUCCCUGGAACCUGAAGCCACGCCACACUCUAUAAACAAUGAGCCGAGUAUUUACAAGAGGGAGACGGGGACUGAAGUUCCUCCAGUGCAUCACAGAAAAGCCAUCGCUGAUGCUAUACAGACAACCUGUUUAUGGCCCUGCGAGCUGCAUGUGCGUAUGCUCGCGUGAGGAAGUCGAGAAGGACCUUGGCCGGACUCCUCACGGAUUUGCCGAGCUCCCGAGUGUCUUAUCGCUGUCUGUGGAGAUGGGAACACGGGGAGAAGCUGCUAUUAUGGCGCAGCUAAAAUACAAGUUCCUAUGUGACAGCAGGAUGGACAGAUAAAACAAGCAUGGCUAGAGUAAAAGGUGGCCAGAUCACAUGUUAGGUGUCAGGUACAGCAGACUGUAAGAAUGUAAGAUGAGCGUAAAAUUAAUAUAUGUAAACAACAAUAAGUGAAGAAUGAGCGUUGGCAACAAAAGGCAACUCUUAUAUGGAAUAAAUUGCCAAUCGAAAUGAAGUCACUCUCAAUUUCCUCAAGUCUAGGUUAAACUCUCUUUUUUUCUCAUGCUUCUGUUUUUAAAUGUUUUAACAUGCUUUUUAUUUUGAAAAUGCACCAUGUAAAGUAUGUUGGAUUGUCUCGUUUGUGAGAAAAAUUAAUGAAAUGAGUGAAAAAAAUUAAUUUGGUCCGUUCCUUUGCCUAUAUUAUGGGAU